AUGAGAACCUGUGGAUUGCUUCGAGGCUAAUAUGGUUUGAUCAACCAAGACUCCCUGGAAGAUGCACCUAACCUGAUUGUGGGUGUUGUUCACACCAAGUCUAGCCAUGGAGGGUUCAGACUGGGUCUCAACAAAAUUAUCUCCAAAUGGUUCCUAAACUUCAUUGUUGAAUAGAAUUGCAGAACUUCUAGAAGAUACUAGAGAAAUUACACCUGUCCCCACAAAUCCACAAAGAUACUUCCACUAUAGACUAGUGGCAAUGGUCGAGAGAGUGCCUGAGCUGACCUACUCUGGUGAUCGGAUGGCCAAACACCCUAACUGUCAUCAUAGAACUCUCAUCCAGUGACUAGUGGAAGCAGAUGCAGAGGUCCACAGCCAAACCCUAGGUGGAGCUCCAACAGUCCAAUUGCCGAGAGGGAGAAGGGAUUAUAUGAGCAAGAGAUAUUGAGACCAUGAUUGUAAAAAGCACAGGGACAAAUAUCCAAACUAACAGAAACACAUGAACUGUGUACCAAUAGCUGAGGAGCCCCCA
This is a non-coding RNA of Peromyscus maniculatus bairdii (prairie deer mouse), 532 nucleotides long. Lineage: Eukaryota; Metazoa; Chordata; Mammalia; Rodentia; Cricetidae. The record is from RefSeq and is a predicted model, not a curated record.